AUGGCUUCGAGCGGCCUCUUGUUCGGCCUCGUCAAGUCGCCGCCCGCCGUGUAUCAAGUCCGCGCCACGAGCCGCCCCGGCCUCGAUUCCGGCCUCAAGUCACCUCCCCCACGACCAUCUUUGAACCAGACUCUACGUCCGGCGGGUCGCGGUGCCUGGAGUCGCCCUCUGCUCCAAGUCACCGCAGCCUUGGGCCAGCUGCAUCCCCGCCGUCGCAGAUGCAACCCGCCACCGGCUGCACCUGCUGGCUCCGCUGCACCGCUUACCUCUGCUGCUACCCUGCCGGGUUACGACCAUGAAGGCGCCACAAACUGCCACAGCUUCCCCUGGACAAACGCCAUUUCAAACCAGCCUCACCUUCGCCGCCACCGUAAUCGGCUGCGACCCGCGUCCGAGCCACGCGCAUACGCCGCCGAGGAUCGAUAG
This 426-nucleotide ribosomal RNA is filed under the name Triticum aestivum (bread wheat). RNAcentral describes it as "partial small subunit ribosomal RNA". Lineage: Eukaryota; Viridiplantae; Streptophyta; Magnoliopsida; Poales; Poaceae. The record is from RNAcentral.